UUUUGCACAGGAAGAAACACUCGGACGUGUCCGAGCUUGACGGUACUGUGAGAAUAAGGAUCGGCUAACUCCGUGCCAGCAGCCGCGGUAAUACGGAGGAUCCAAGCGUUAUCCGGAAUCAUUGGGUUUAAAGGGUCCGUAGGCGGUUUUGUAAGUCAGUGGUGAAAGCCCAUCGCUCAACGGUGGAACGGCCAUUGAUACUGCAAGACUUGAAUUAUUAGGAAGUAACUAGAAUAUGUAGUGUAGCGGUGAAAUGCUUAGAGAUUACAUGGAAUACCAAUUGCGAAGGCAGGUUACUACUAAUGGAUUGACGCUGAUGGACGAAAGCGUGGGGAGCGAACAGGAUUAGAUACCCUGGUAGUCCACGCCGUAAACGAUGGAUACUAGCUGUUCGGAGCAAUCUGAGUGGCUAAGCGAAAGUGAUAAGUAUCCCACCUGGGGAGUACGUUCGCAAGAAUGAAACUCAAAGGAAUUGACGG
RNAcentral lists this ribosomal RNA (479 nucleotides) under uncultured Bacteroidota bacterium. Its description in RNAcentral is "bacterial SSU rRNA". It matches the Rfam family "Bacterial small subunit ribosomal RNA", at positions 434 to 916 of the family's 1533-position model. Lineage: Bacteria; Pseudomonadati; Bacteroidota. The record is from RNAcentral.